UGGCGGACGGGUGAGUAAUGUCUGGGAAACUGCCCGAUGGAGGGGGAUAACUACUGGAAACGGUAGCUAAUACCGCAUAACGUCGCAAGACCAAAGAGGGGGACCUCCGGGCCUCGCGCCAUCAGAUGAACCCAUAUGGGAUUAGCUAGUAGGUGGGGUAACGGCUCACCUAGGCGACGAUCCCUAGCUGGUCUGAGAGGAUGACCAGCCACACUGGAACUGAGACACGGUCCAG
This 235-nucleotide ribosomal RNA is filed under the name uncultured bacterium. RNAcentral's name for it is "partial 16S ribosomal RNA". It matches the Rfam family "Bacterial small subunit ribosomal RNA", at positions 96 to 334 of the family's 1533-position model. The record is from RNAcentral.